Molecule: ribosomal RNA, 253 nt
Filed under: uncultured bacterium
Lineage: Bacteria
Description: partial 16S ribosomal RNA
Rfam family: Bacterial small subunit ribosomal RNA
Source: RNAcentral
UACGUAGGGUGCGAGCGUUGUCCGGAAUUAUUGGGCGUAAAGGGCUCGUAGGCGGUCUGUCGCGUCGGGAGUGAAAACUCAGGGCUUAACCCUGAGCCUGCUUCCGAUACGGGCAGACUAGAGGUAUGCAGGGGAGAACGGAAUUCCUGGUGUAGCGGUGAAAUGCGCAGAUAUCAGGAGGAACACCGGUGGCGAAGGCGGGACUCUGGGCCGAUACUGACGCUGAGGAGCGAAAGCGUGGGGAGCAAACAGG